GAACUGUGGAGAUCCAAGAUCAGUAGCCGUAGCUGGUGGAAAUCCAAUCACCAUGAGCUCCAUCUGUCUCCUGCUGUUUCUGACAGCUGUGUCCUGUGUGGAUUCAGUUGAAUUUACUCAGUCAGAUAAUAUAGUGGUACGACCUGGAGAGGUGUUUACAAUCUCCUGUAAAUUCUCUGGGUUUUCAAUAUCCAGCUACUGUCCACGCUGGAUUCGCCAAACACCAUCCAAGACUUUGGAACAUAUUGGAUAUGUGUGUAGCAGCAGCUCGAAUGUAAAGGACUCACUCAAGAACAAAAUCAGUUUCUCUGCAGACGUCUCCAGCAGCACAGUGUUUUUAAAGGGACAAAACUUUCAGACGGAGGACACAGCUGUGUAUUACUGCACACGAGAGCCACAGUCAUUCAGAGUACUGGUGCAGCUGUACAAAAACCAGGGUCAUACUGUGUGGAGCUCUCUUUAG
This is a non-coding RNA of Hemibagrus wyckioides, 463 nucleotides long. Lineage: Eukaryota; Metazoa; Chordata; Actinopteri; Siluriformes; Bagridae. The record is from the annotation of a RefSeq genome assembly.